ACCUGCGGAAGGAUCAUUGUCGUGACCCUAACGAAAACAGAUCGUGAACUUGUCAUCUAGCGUACCGGGUGAUGGGGUAGCACCUGUCUCCUGGUUUUCGGUUACUGACCUUCUUUAGGGAUGGUGAGUGGCCACAAAAGAACCCCGGCGCCGUAUGGCGUCAAGGAACACAAAUUUUGCCUUGCUUGGUACAACGUCUGGCUUGCUGGAUGUGAAUCAAGCAACGAUCACAUUAAUCGUCAUGACUCUCGGCAACGGAUAUCUCGGCUCUCGCAUCGAUGAAGAACGUAGCAAAAUGCGAUACCUGGUGUGAAUUGCAGAAUCCCGUGAACCAUCGAGUUUUUGAACGCAAGUUGCGCCUGAGGCCUUUUGGUUGAGGGCACGUCUGCCUGGGCGUCACGCUAAAAGACACUCCCAGCCCAAUUGGGUGGUGGAUGUGGUGUUUGGCCCCUCGCGCCGUAGGUGUGGUGGGCCAAAGUAGGGUGGUACCGGCAGUGCUGAUCACAGCACAAGGUGGAUGACACAUGUUAUUCUCGGUGCUGUGAUGCUGUAUUUGAUUCCGGUGUCAAAACUUCCCUUGGACUCAUACAUCGAGAUGCAAGUCACUCGAACCGCGACCCCAGGUCAGUCGGGAUUACCCGCUGAAUUUAAGCAUAUCAAUAAGCGG
Molecule: ribosomal RNA, 667 nt
Filed under: Perotis vaginata
Lineage: Eukaryota; Viridiplantae; Streptophyta; Magnoliopsida; Poales; Poaceae
Description: eukaryotic LSU rRNA
Rfam family: 5.8S ribosomal RNA (bases 244-399)
Source: RNAcentral